GGGGCUAAAACUUACUACCGAAGCUACGGCAUCAUUAUGAUGGGUAGGGGAGCUUCCCAUACGGGUUGAAGCAUGACCGUAAGGACAUGUGGACAGUAUGGGAGUGAGAAUGUUGGCAUGGGUAGCGGGAUGUGGGUGAGAAUCCCACAGGCCGUAAACCCAAGGUUUCCAGGGGAAGGUUCGUCCGCCCUGGGUUAGUCGGGACCUAAGCUGAGGCCGAAAGGCGUAGGUGAUGGACAACAGGUUGA
RNAcentral lists this ribosomal RNA (248 nucleotides) under Clostridioides difficile. Its description in RNAcentral is "partial 23S ribosomal RNA". It matches the Rfam family "Bacterial large subunit ribosomal RNA", at positions 1177 to 1433 of the family's 2925-position model. Lineage: Bacteria; Bacillati; Bacillota; Clostridia; Peptostreptococcales; Peptostreptococcaceae. The record is from RNAcentral.